GAGCAGACAUGUCUUGGGGGGUGGUUGCGAGAGGAUGGGAGAAGAGAAGGGGAAGGAGAUGAGAAUCUUGAAGAGGUGAUCCACGGAGGGAAGUGGUGCAGAGAAAGGAGGUGUGUAGUGGUGCAGAGAAAGGAGGUGUGUAGUGGUGCAGAGAAAGGAGGUGUGUAGUGGUGCAGAGAAAGGAGGUGUGUAGUGGUGCAGAGAAAGGAGGCGUGGAGUGGUGCAGAGAAAGGAGGCGUGGAGUGGUGCAGAGAAAGGAGGUAUGUAGUGGUGCAGAGAAAGGAGGUAUGUAGUGGUGCAGAGAAAGGAGGUGUGUAGUGGUGCAGAGAAAGGAGGUGUGUAGUGGUGCAGAGAAAGGAGGUAUGUAGUGGUGCAGAGAAAGGAGGUGUGUAGUGGUGCAGAGAAAGGAGGCGUGGAGUGGUGCAGAGAAAGGAGGUGUGUAGUGGUGCAGAGAAAGGAGGUAUGUAGUGGUGCAGAGAAAGGAGGUGUGUAGUGGUGCAGAGAAAGGAGGUGUGUAGUGGUGCAGAGAAAGGAGGUAUGAAGUGGUGCAGAGAAAGGAGGUGUGUAGUGGUGCAGAGAAAGGAGGUGUGUAGUGGUGCAGAGAAAGGAGGUAUGUAGUGGUGCAGAGAAAGGAGGUAUGUAGUGGUGCAGAGAAAGGAGGUAUGUAGUGGUGCAGAGAAAGGAGGUAUGUAGUGGUGCAGAGAAAGGAGGUGUGUAGUGGUGCAGAGAAAGGAGGUGUGUAGUGGUGCAGAGAAAGGAGGCGUGGAGUGGUGCAGAGAAAGGAGGCGUGGAGUGGUGCAGAGAAAGGAGGCGUGGAGUGGUGCAGAGAAAGGAGGCGUGGAGUGGUGCAGAGAAAGGAGGUGUGUAGUGGUGCAGAGAAAGGAGGUAUGUAGUGGUGCAGAGAAAGGAGGUAUGUAGUGGUGCAGAGAAAGGAGGUAUGUAGUGGUGCAGAGAAAGGAGGUAUGUAGUGGUGCAGAGAAAGGAGGUGUGUAGUGGUGCAGAGAAAGGAGGCGUGGAGUGGUGCAGAGAAAGGAGGUGUGUUUAGUAUUCUUCUUGGUCUCCCUGUGGCGCCUCCUCCACCAUGUCGUACUCUGGCGCCAUGAAGCCAUCCU
Molecule: long non-coding RNA, 1112 nt
Organism: Oncorhynchus keta (chum salmon)
Lineage: Eukaryota; Metazoa; Chordata; Actinopteri; Salmoniformes; Salmonidae
Exons: 8
Source: RefSeq, a predicted model, not a curated record